This 160-nucleotide ribosomal RNA is filed under the name Flammulina rossica. RNAcentral's name for it is "5.8S ribosomal RNA". It matches the Rfam family "5.8S ribosomal RNA". From Rfam's summary of the family: 5.8S ribosomal RNA (5.8S rRNA) is a component of the large subunit of the eukaryotic ribosome. It is transcribed by RNA polymerase I as part of the 45S precursor that also contains 18S and 28S rRNA. Lineage: Eukaryota; Fungi; Basidiomycota; Agaricomycetes; Agaricales; Physalacriaceae. The record is from RNAcentral.
ACAACUUUCAACAACGGAUCUCUUGGCUCUCGCAUCGAUGAAGAACGCAGCGAAAUGCGAUAACUAAUGUGAAUUGCAGAAUUCAGUGAAUCAUCGAGUCUUUGAACGCACCUUGCGCCCUUUGGCACUCCGAAGGGCAUGCCUGUUUGAGUUGUCAGUA